RNAcentral lists this ribosomal RNA (400 nucleotides) under uncultured bacterium. RNAcentral's name for it is "partial 16S ribosomal RNA". It matches the Rfam family "Bacterial small subunit ribosomal RNA", at positions 360 to 775 of the family's 1533-position model. The record is from RNAcentral.
AAUAUUGCACAAUGGAGGAAACUCUGAUGCAGCGACGCCGCGUGAGUGAAGAAGGUCUUCGGAUCGUAAAACUCUGUCCUUGGUGAAGAAAAAAAUGACGGUAGCCAAGGAGGAAGCCCCGGCUAACUACGUGCCAGCAGCCGCGGUAAUACGUAGGGGGCGAGCGUUGUCCGGAUUUACUGGGCGUAAAGGGUGAGUAGGCGGUUAUGUGCGUCAGGUGUAAAAGGCGUAGGCUUAACUUACGUUAGUACUUGAAACUGCAUAACUUGAGUGCAGGAGAGGUAAGUGGAAUUCCUAGUGUAGCGGUGAAAUGCGUAGAUAUUAGGAGGAACACCAGUGGCGAAGGCGACUUACUGGACUGUAACUGACGCUGAGUCACGAAAGCGUGGGUAGCAAACAG